Molecule: long non-coding RNA, 181 nt
Filed under: Fukomys damarensis (Damara mole-rat)
Lineage: Eukaryota; Metazoa; Chordata; Mammalia; Rodentia; Bathyergidae
Description: lncRNA (ENSFDAG00000031571.1)
Source: RNAcentral
CCUGCACGCGACUCGGUCCUGAAGAGCUGCCCUUGCCCUUGACCAAGCGCACACAUCAGCCUUCCCCACCUGCAGCGCCCUUCACCCUCCUCGCUGUGAAACUGCAAACCAGCUGCACACAGGAAUGUUCCAGUCCAUCGUUAAUCGUUUCUCCACUCUGCCAGUUCAUCUUGACUCCCAC